GAUGAACGCUGGCGGCGUGCCUAAUACAUGCAAGUCGAGCGAACGGACGAGAAGCUUGCUUCUCUGAUGUUAGCGGCGGACGGGUGAGUAACACGUGGAUAACCGACCUAUAAGACUGGGAUAACUUCGGGAAACCGGAGCUAAUACCGGAUAAGAUUUUGAACCGCAUGGUUCAAAAGUGAAAGACGGUCUUGCUGUCACUUAUAGAUGGAUCCGCGCUGCAUUAGCUAGUUGGUAAGGUAACGGCUUACCAAGGCAACGAUGCAUAGCCGACCUGAGAGGGUGAUCGGCCACACUGGAACUGAGACACGGUCCAGACUCCUACGGGAGGCAGCAGUAGGGAAUCUUCCGCAAUGGGCGAAAGCCUGACGGAGCAACGCCGCGUGAGUGAUGAAGGUCUUCGGAUCGUAAAACUCUGUUAUUAGGGAAGAACAUAUGUGUAAGUAACUGUGCACAUCUUGACGUUACCUAAUCAGAAAGCCCCGGCUAACUACGUG
RNAcentral lists this ribosomal RNA (497 nucleotides) under uncultured bacterium. RNAcentral describes it as "partial 16S ribosomal RNA". It matches the Rfam family "Bacterial small subunit ribosomal RNA", at positions 28 to 507 of the family's 1533-position model. The record is from RNAcentral.